Molecule: ribosomal RNA, 279 nt
Filed under: uncultured bacterium
Lineage: Bacteria
Description: partial 16S ribosomal RNA
Rfam family: Bacterial small subunit ribosomal RNA
Source: RNAcentral
UGCCAGCAGCCGCGGUAACACGGGGGGCGCAAGCGUUAUUCGGAAUUAUUGGGCGUAAAGGGCGCGUAGGCGGCGCGAUACGGUCUGGGUGAAAUCCCUCGGCUCAGCCGAGGAAUUGCCUGGGCAACGGUCGUGCUAGACAGCAUCAGGGGAAGGUGGAACUCGCGGUGGAGCGGUGAAAUGCGUAGAUAUCGCGAGGAACGCCGGUGGCGAAAGCGACCUUCUGGGGUGCUUGUGACGCUGAGGCGCGAAAGCUAGGGGAGCGAACGGGAUUAGAUA